Molecule: long non-coding RNA, 511 nt
Filed under: Marmota monax (woodchuck)
Lineage: Eukaryota; Metazoa; Chordata; Mammalia; Rodentia; Sciuridae
Source: RNAcentral
CGGCGGCAAGCGCCCUGGGCAGUGGAGACGCGCCUUCCCGGCUCGGAUCGGCGCCCUGGGGAGGGUGGCCUUCCAGAGGAGUUGGGGAACCAGCUGGACGCUGGGCCGAGGCGUGCUCUAGGCGCUGGUAUCAUCCAGCUCUCCUGUGCCCGGGCGCCCCCAGCGGGUUCCGGGAGGUGCCCGGUGCGUCCAAUUCUCCCGCGCCGGAGGGCUGCUAGGACCAGCGGGAGCUGCAGAGUGCGGGAGUGGAGGACGCCCCGGCAGCCGCAGCCGCUGCGCCGGGAGCAGUAGCUGCAACCGGUCGCUGGCGGCGGACCGGCUGUGCGCAUUAGGCAGCGUUGCCGCUCCUCUCCGUCUGUCUCUGGCCACUCUGACAUCCCCUCCUCCCGGCCCCUCUCUGGAGUGGAGGGGAGGACUCCUAACCCGCGGCAAGCAACUCCCUUAGGGGAGGAAAAAGCUGCCUUGGACGAUCCUGGCCGCGGGACCCCUCCUCCCUGGGCGCCCCCAACCC